UGCCGCCGCCGGCGAGCGGGCGGCCGUUGGGGCGCGAGCGCGGCCGUUGGGGCGCCGCCGUGCGCUCGCCGCCGGCCAGCGGCCGGGCCAGUCGGAGCGCGGGAGCAUGCGGCACCUCCGCCGCCGCCGCCGCCGGGAAGGGCGAGACUUGCUCUGAAACAGCGGUCUUCCCGGGGCGCAGACAGCGGGGAGUCGCCGGUGUGGGCCUGAGCCGUGUCCCGGGCCGGGCAGCCAGGCCCCCAAGGAGUCUUGCGAGGUGGCAGCCUGAAGGGACUGCGUUUCUCUUCAGUUUAAGCAGCCAGCAUAAAACUUUGUUUGCAAGCGACUUUGGCGGUAGGCAUUCCCCAGACGGUUUGCAAACGCGAAAAGAUGGCACAAUUGGGAAAGCGCUAUUGAAGUGGCACACACAGAUGCCCAGGUACCCGAACAGAAAACAGAAGAGUGGCCUGAAAAAGCAAUGUGUGUACAGGCCCUUUGGUGCUUCUGUGUCAUUCUAGUUCCACCAGUGAACUUCGAGUGUAAGGAUGUUACCUCAGGUAGAAGAUAGCUAAAACCCCUGCUUUGGUUUUAUUACUACUAGGUAAUAAAAAAGAAGCAGCAGCAGCAGAGCAGCUGCAUUUACAAGGAAACUUAUCUCAAGCAUACAGUGACACAGAUGUCUUGGCUUUGAGAAAGCCAACUAUGUAGAAGGCAAAUCUCCGAACUCGAACUUGGCAGAGUGGUGAUCAAGAUACUACUGUCUUCUGCUUCUUUCACAAAUACACUGCACAUGGAAGCUAGCGAAGGUUUGUCAUAGUGUCAUCUCUUGACUUGAGGAUGGUUUGCUGAUGAAGACGACUUGUUUAGAUGCAACAUUUAAUUUUUUAUACCUCGUUAGUUUUAUAUAGAAACAUCAGAGACUUAGGAGCUUUAUACACUAAAAAACAAACUACCUGCCCAGAGAUUUUACAGUCCCAGGACCUUACUCCUGCAAGUGGAUCUACAUGUCCCCUUGGCUUUCAGGCAGAACCAGGAAAUACACUAUGAACCUACCUGAGCAAAGUGGUCUACCUGCAGAGAUCAGUUUCAGAAGCAGAAGAUUUGGUAAAUACAGGUGUCUCAGGAAUUUACCCAUGCAGAAGCAAGUAGCCCUGGCCCAUGGUACAAGCAGAAGAAAAGCACAGCUGAAAGAUGACCAUAAUGUAAUAAUUAUAUCCCAGUGUCCCCUCAUAUUGAAUCAGCUCCUUUUGAUGGAGAACAGCUUCAGUGAAAUUGUUCUCACCGAAGAUCUUUCAGAAGUUGUGAGACUUGGGAUGUCUUGCCUGACUGAGUCUAUUCUGAAGCACUUGGACCUAUCUUAUCCUGUUUUUCUGGUUAAUUCUUCAAUGGAUAAUUGAUUUAAUAGGAAAGGGUAGUUUCCUGUUUGUAGUCAACUUGACAGCACUACCUGCCUGGAUAUGUAGUGUGCAAAGAUACUGGCUCCCAGGAUCAUAUUUCUGAUCUUCCAGCUACUCUUAGCACAUAUCUGAUGCCCUGACUUACCAUGUGUCCUAGUCAACAAUUAGAGCUAAGCAAAUUAAUAGAGUUACGUCCCAGGAUACAGCUUAUCAGGUGCAGACUAUCAUCUCAGCUAUGCUGGGUUCUGGGACAUUUGUGCUCUCUGGAUACGGUGUUAGAGCCAAUCUCUGUGUAAGAGGGGCAAGUAAACUGUAGGAGAAGAAAGUUGGUUUAGUGGCUCUUUGGUUGGUUUUUUCCCCUCCCACUAGCUGGGACUUAGAGGCUGUGAAUUUAAUGCAGUGUUUCACAAGAGACUUCCUGUGUGGUCUUCAACAAGCCAUUAGUUAAAAGUCCUGUUGGUUGUAAAGAAGUAAUGCCUCACUGCCAUUUGUGUCCUUGAAAAUCAGCCUUUUAGUUUGUUGGGCCUCUAUAAUGAUUCACAAAUUGUUUCAAUUUACGGGCAUAGGACAAGUCUUAGAAAUCCUCUCUACUUAGAAACAGGAAGCGUUUCAGUACUCAUAAAAGACAGUGAAUGCUGAGCAAAAGUAAUUUGAAAAUUAUUGCUGUGAUUAUCAAACUGCAGUACCAGUAAAUAAUGUGGUAUAAUAAAUGUAGUAAAUAAUUUUUA
Dromaius novaehollandiae (emu) is the source of this 2104-nucleotide long non-coding RNA. RefSeq lists it as uncharacterized. The transcript is spliced from 3 exons. NCBI's taxonomy places the organism in Eukaryota, Metazoa, Chordata, Aves, Casuariiformes, Dromaiidae. The record is from RefSeq and is a predicted model, not a curated record.